GUCGAGGGGCAGCAUGGUCUUAGCUUGCUAAGGCCGAUGGCGACCGGCGCACGGGUGAGUAACACGUAUCCAACCUGCCGUCUAUUCUUGGACAGCCUUCUGAAAGGAAGAUUAAUACAAGAUGGCAUCAUGAGUCCGCAUGUUCACAUGAUUAAAGGUAUUCCGGUAGACGAUGGGGAUGCGUUCCAUUAGAUAGUAGGCGGGGUAACGGCCCACCUAGUCUUCGAUGGAUAGGGGUUCUGAGAGGAAGGUCCCCCACAUUGGAACUGAGACACGGUCCAAACUCCUACGGGAGGCAGCAGUGAGGAAUAUUGGUCAAUGGGCGAGAGCCUGAACCAGCCAAGUAGCGUGAAGGAUGACUGCCCUAUGGGUUGUAAACUUCUUUUAUAAAGGAAUAAAGUCGGGUAUGCAUACCCGUUUGCAUGUACUUUAUGAAUAAGGAUCGGCUAACUCCGUGCCAGCAGCCGCGGUAAUACGGAGGAUCCGAGCGUUAUCCGGAUUUAUUGGGUUUAAAGGGAGCGUAGAUGGAUGUUUAAGUCAGUUGUGAAAGUUUGCGGCUCAACCGUAAAAUUGCAGUUGAUACUGGAUAUCUUGAGUGCAGUUGAGGCAGGCGGAAUUCGUGGUGUAGCGGUGAAAUGCUUAGAUAUCACGAAGAACUCCGAUUGCGAAGGCAGCCUGCUAAGCUGCAACUGACAUUGAGGCUCGAAAGUGUGGGUA
RNAcentral lists this ribosomal RNA (717 nucleotides) under uncultured Bacteroidales bacterium. RNAcentral's name for it is "bacterial SSU rRNA". It matches the Rfam family "Bacterial small subunit ribosomal RNA", at positions 61 to 767 of the family's 1533-position model. Lineage: Bacteria; Pseudomonadati; Bacteroidota; Bacteroidia; Bacteroidales. The record is from RNAcentral.